This 468-nucleotide ribosomal RNA is filed under the name Providencia alcalifaciens. Its description in RNAcentral is "bacterial SSU rRNA". It matches the Rfam family "Bacterial small subunit ribosomal RNA", at positions 923 to 1393 of the family's 1533-position model. The record is from RNAcentral. Lineage: Bacteria; Pseudomonadati; Pseudomonadota; Gammaproteobacteria; Enterobacterales; Morganellaceae.
GCGCGCGGCGGGCGGGGCGGGGGCACGGGGGGAACGCGAAGAACCUUACCUACUCUUGACAUCCAGAGAAUUUAGCAGAGAUGCUUUAGUGCCUUCGGGAACUCUGAGACAGGUGCUGCAUGGCUGUCGUCAGCUCGUGUUGUGAAAUGUUGGGUUAAGUCCCGCAACGAGCGCAACCCUUAUCCUUUGUUGCCAGCACGUAAUGGUGGGAACUCAAAGGAGACUGCCGGUGAUAAACCGGAGGAAGGUGGGGAUGACGUCAAGUCAUCAUGGCCCUUACGAGUAGGGCUACACACGUGCUACAAUGGCGUAUACAAAGAGAAGCGACCUCGCGAGAGCAAGCGGAACUCAUAAAGUACGUCGUAGUCCGGAUUGGAGUCUGCAACUCGACUCCAUGAAGUCGGAAUCGCUAGUAAUCGUAGAUCAGAAUGCUACGGUGAAUACGUUCCCGGGUCUUGUACACACCGA